GCUUCCUGCUGGGGUUUAUCAAUAUAGGUUUCUCGUAGAUGGACAGUGGAGGUAUGCUCCGGAGUUGCCUUGGGCUCAAGACGACGUUGGCAAUGCUUACAAUGUUUUGGACUUGCAGGAUAACGUGCCUGAAGAUAUUGAAAGCAUCUCUAGCUUUGAGCCUCCUCAGUCACCAGACUCAAGCUAUGACAAUCUACUACUUGGGUCUGAUGAUUAUGCGAAAGAGCCACCAUUGGUUCCCCCACACCUACAGAGGACACUGCUUA
This 266-nucleotide unclassified non-coding RNA is filed under the name Hevea brasiliensis (rubber tree). Lineage: Eukaryota; Viridiplantae; Streptophyta; Magnoliopsida; Malpighiales; Euphorbiaceae. The record is from RNAcentral.